CACCUAGAAUCCCAGCAAUUUGAGAGACACAGGUAUGAUAAUGGUAUCAUCAUCAUACAGAAGAAUAUCCUUUUCUUAGGAGAUGCUUACUAAAAUCAAGGAACAUUUGGUAAGAGAAGAACGCCUCAAGAGAGCAUGUGCAAAGCUGCGGUAAACACACUCCGCGUGUGGCCCCUCCCAAGGGCUGGCAGCUCACUGCGCAUGCGGACAGCCCACCCCAAGGGAAGAAUCAGGGCAGAAGGGAUGCGACCCCCUGAAGUACUCCAACGUAUCAACCCCAAGUCAAAGGUCCAACUGCAUACAUUCUCUCAAGCCGCCUGCUUGGCCCUCUUCCAAGUGUACGUUACUUCCUUUUGCUCCUGCUCUCAAGUUUUUUUGUUUGUUUGUUUUGAAACGGAGUCUUGCUCUGUCGC
Homo sapiens (human) is the source of this 413-nucleotide long non-coding RNA. RefSeq lists it as uncharacterized. The transcript is spliced from 3 exons. Lineage: Eukaryota; Metazoa; Chordata; Mammalia; Primates; Hominidae. The record is from RefSeq and is a predicted model, not a curated record.